Molecule: unclassified non-coding RNA, 334 nt
Filed under: Hevea brasiliensis (rubber tree)
Lineage: Eukaryota; Viridiplantae; Streptophyta; Magnoliopsida; Malpighiales; Euphorbiaceae
Source: RNAcentral
AGCUGUGGUGGCUUUCCAUUGUUGCUGCAAUAAUGUCCUUCACUUACUCAUCAAUUGGUCUUGGACUUGGAGUUGCUGAAGUUGCAGAAGCUGAAAAAUUUCGGGGAAGUCUAACUGGAAUAAGCAUUGGCCCCGGCGUCACUGAGACCCAGAAGCUAUGGAGGAGCUUCCAGGCACUUGGUGACAUCGCUUUUGCCUAUUCUUACUCCAUCAUCCUCAUUGAAAUUCAGGACACAAUCAAAUCCCCACCAUCAGAGGCCAAGACAAUGAAAAAAGCAAGUCUAAUAAGUGUUAUAGUGACAACUCUUUUCUACAUGCUCUGUGGCUGCUUCGG